CAGCACCCGAGCACUCAACGCAAUGCCCAAGAACAAUGGUCCAGUCACAGGCUGGUCACAUAGAACUAGUCCUCCUAAUAGGAUGAAUCAGGCAAGACCACAUUUAAUAUCUUGUCAGUUAUUUAUUAUGUGUCAUUCUAAAGACUAGCACAUUUACAGCAUACAUGGCUUUGAAUGACCUAAGAAUAUAUAAAACAGUAACUGUAUGUUUAUAUAUAUAUAUAUAGUAAUACUGCCCAAAACAAAUAAAUAAAGGUAUCAUAAUGCACUAAGCUUGGCAAAUACAAUUGUGUAGGGACAAAACUGUAUUAUACAAUAUUUUUACAUCUUUAAAGGAAACUAAAGGCAACUGUGCUCUGUAGGAGCUCUGACAGAAUCCACAUUACAUUCCCAGUUUUCCAUAGAUCUCUUUUCUUUUUAGAUGGGGAGGCAUUAUAAGGAACACUGGACGGAACCUCUAUUUUACGGUAACCUGUAAAACUGCCUUCCCUGCACCUCUGAAAACUCAAAGCUCCUACAGAAGAGAGGAGCUGCUUGCCUCUGUGCAACACACCCUCACCCUGCAGGCACUGGAAGCGUGUGAUGCUGCUGGAAGCCCAGGAACGAUGCCUUCAGAGAGAAUACUGAAACCUGAACCUUUUCUAUAGCAUUUGCCAAAUCUUACAGUUUUAUGGUGACCCAUUACAUAGAGCAAAAAUUGGGAAAAUAAUUCAUAUAAAGGUGUCACAUGCAAAACUGCUGACAGAUGAUCAACAUUUGCUAUAUUCCCUUUGAUGAGUGCAGAUAUUUAAUGCUCUCCAGACAAAAAAGAUCUGAAAACGAUGUGGGUAAUAUUUAUUUUUAAAAAGCAAGGAGAUUUUUUAAAAGUUAAAAUGAGAAAAGACGGAACUAAAAAUUUACAAAUUAAAUGAGAUGGUGGAGAGGUGAAAGGGUAAAUCAGCCAUAUUGAAAACAAACUGUCUGUGAACAGAAAUUGACACUUAAAAAGGAGAAUCUGAUACCAGCAGCAGCCACCUGUGCAGUGGGUUUGGCAGGCAGGAGCUUCUCUGCCUCCUGCCUGCCACGGUGAACUCAGCUUUGAGGGAGCAGCACAGAGCUUCGUCCUUCAUUAAAGUGUCCUUCACAGACAUUUUCCUCCCUGCAGGCAUCGGGAGACAGCAGGCGCUGCUUGCAUGCUGACUUCUGAGUAGGAGGGGGUCUGGAAGGUCAUCCAGUUCCACCCUACCUGAUGCCCACCCCCUCUGUGUUCCUGCCAAUAAGCAGUCCUCCCCAUGCCUCAGCACCCCUGGCCCAAGUUUGUUACAUGUUUCUAAAGGAACCAGAAGAAUCUCUAGGCUUUUAGACAUAAGAAUUUCUAAGAGGUUCACAAAUCAUUAGGAUCAGCAUCAUUAAUAUGUGCCAUAUGUAUUUCUUUUACAACCUUUUCAAGAACAUGUAAACAUCAUAAACAGAAUCAAUAAAACAUAUAAACUCCUAAGAAACAAACUCUGCUAUGUGCAGAUAAGACUCAUCAUCAUCUUAUAAAAGAUGACCAGACAAAAUUUUCUAUGAAAUUCCUAAGUUUUAUGGCCCAUAAAUCCCUUUCAAAAUCUCAUUUGAGGAGAAUAAAUUUCAACUGUUUCUCAAUAGUCAUCUUACAUAAGAAUGAGAAUAAGUAACAAUUACUGCAAACCUAAAAAUAAGACACUUUCAUCAGACAUUCAAACAUGAUUGUACUGUCUUUUCAAAGAUAAAUUGGAAAUCCUGCAAAAAAAAAUUUUUUUUCUGAAAAUAUUUAGGUUCCUACUAUCUCUAUGGUCAUAAAUUCCCCAUGGGAGUGUUGACAUGCCACAUCUGAGGCCCUACAUUAACAUCUAGAGAAGAAGGGGAGAUGUGUCCUCGGCGUGAGGGAGCCUCGGCAGGGAGCUUCAGAGAACAGGAGACAGGCUAAAGGGACCUUACUGCUGGCUUUGUGUCUCCAGCAGACUCCCUGUUCUGUAACUCAUAAGGGACAGAAAAAAGAGUGGCCCCAACUAUGUGGGGUACCUUGCAGGUGUUACCUUCUAAUAAAGUCUUAUCUCCCGUUGAUUUAUCAAUCUUUCUUUCAACUUCUUCAGGUGGUAGUGUAGAUAGGAUAAUUCACUAGAACCCGUUAUUCUCACUGCAUGAGAUAGUGCUAGCUUCUUUCCCCAAAUAACAUUUAUUGGUAUGCCUAGGAUCCAAUUAUUUAAUUUAUUAUUUACUGUUUUACAUUCAGAUUUUUACAAAGUGGAUUGUAAUUCAAUGGUUACUUUUGAGUUACUCUGUAGAAAAAUAAGUGAGCAAGCAGGCAUUUGAAAAAGUCUUCUAGCAUUUCAGACAAACCUAGCUUGAUUCAUGUAGGUAACUAUUGAUGAGAUCUGUGUAGUUACAGCCAAAGGCUAUUUAAAUAGGCAGUUGUUACUAUCCACACUAUUGAGCCAAACAUUACCUCCUAUUGAUUCCAAUGGGGAAAAAAACCCAAAAAACAAAAAACAUGCUCCAGAGACUCUUUAGUGAAAUGUUUUUUUUUAAAAAACCACAAAAAAUAAAAACCAAUCCUUCAGGUCUUCUUGAAGAAUUCAUAUAUGACACUAGAGGGUACCCACAUUUAUUAUGUAACAGCUAAUUAGAGGAAACCGUGUGUUCACGUUUCAACUUUUCCGUAAGUCCCUUCGGGAGGCCUGUAAUGCUUGGGGAAAGCCUUCAGCUGCAGGGAAUUAAAUGCAUAUUUGCGACUUCCAACAUUCUUCAUUGUAUUUUCUCUUCGACAACCCUCACUGGGGAAAAAACAAGCACAAGAAAUGACGGCAGUAAAAAAGGAAAAAAGAAAAGACUUAAACUAAGAUGAAAUGAACUGAUCAUUUUCAUAACAUUAAAAAAAAGAUUAAUUUAAAUGGGUGCCGGACUCAUUUACAACAAAUACAUACGUAAGAUGGCAGGUUUCUGAACAAGGCAAUUAAGAAGCACAGAGAUGGACACAUGCUGCGUGGGGCUGUGAGUUGUGCGUUCCUAAAAGCAGCACUGUAUCUAAGUGGAAGCAAACUUUUUCCAAGUGAAUGGUUUCAUGUAGCUCAUGUCUUUUGGGGUUCUAUCAUAACUUGUGGUUCAAAGAUUCCCUCACAUAGCAAAUGAAGUGGAAAAAGAAAUAUUACUACUCUUACUAAAGCUGCACUUCAGAGAUGUAAGGAGCUGGACUUUUCUGUAUUAGCAAGAGCUGUAAUCACAUCAAAUUCAAAAUGCUGACUUUCCUUGCAGAAUUCAACAUGUAGCAAAGCCAGCUGGCUAGGAAGGCUGUUCUGGUCUGCUGUCUCCUGGAGGACAGUUGUUCUGGGUGCCAGGUAAUCCAAUGGGUUCAUGCACUGUCUGCAGAGCGGCCUGGCAAUCAGGGCUGGAAUGUUAUGAGGGAGGGAUCUCACCAAGUUCUGGUAGCAGCCAGCCACCCUUCCACAGGUGGGCUGCCCCCAUGUGUUCCCUCUUGCACAGGUGCCACUGAGCCAGUGAGAGCCCACAGGUGCCCUUCCCUAGAGAACUCACUACCAGCGUCAUCCUCAGCUGCAUCUGAUGGAGGGUUGCCAUGGCAAUCCAGGGGGCAAAAACAAACACUGCAUGGGAGGAUGAGCAGCCAGGGGGCCUCACCUACUCAGUGAGCGCGUCCGGGCAGUUCUCUGGGAAAUGUUCAGGUGUAGACAUAAAACUAACCAGCAAAAGCGAUUUUAAACAUAAAUGACUUCCCACAGCACAGUAUAACUUGAUGGUUUUAUGCUGUUCUAAGACUAGCAGUGAAAUCAACUAGUUAUCAAAUUUAGUACAAAAUUCCCCUUAUGAGAUGUAAAAUUUGCAGUUACCAAGAAACAGUGAUUUUUUUAAAAAUUCAAAUUGUAUGAAGACCAUUAUGUCACGCAUUUUAAAAAAAAAUCAGUGGCAAUUGCUCAAGCCUUUUAAAGUGAAAAUGACAGUCUCAUUAUCAAGAACAUGUAAAAUACUUUUGGUAAGACAGUAAUUUUUAUUCAAAAGCUAAGCUCCGAUAGUUUAGAAAAGUAUCCACCUGGUUGUUAUAACUAAUUUGGUAACUUGGAUAUGCUUUCUUGUCACGGAGCCUCAAGGCCUCAGCUAGAUGUGUGUCAUCUGAGCUGAACACCUAGGCCACAGGAAGCCCCCUGGAGUAAGUAACAAUCAUGUUUGCCUAACAUUCAUUCAGUAAUCAAAAACGUACUUCCACUUAAAGCAGAAGCUAUAGGUUCCUAUACACAGUUAAUCUCCUUUAAUCUUUGGAAACUCUUACAUUAAUGAACUACUUCAGAUAUGGCUUCUCCAUUUAUAUAGAAAUGUACAAACUGCUUAAAAACCACCUGUCACUAGUAAAUGCUAAACUGCCGUGAGGAGCGAGGCAGAAUAAUUUGUGAACUUUGACAUUAUCUUUUAUUUACAUGUUAAAGGAGUUAAUGCCUAGUUUAGCUGGCUGAACACAUCAGAUGUGAAAUUCUAAUAAAGAUUAUACUUUCAUUUCAACGUAGUUUUCAAAUCAAAUUGUAUUUACUUUCCCCCAGAUGUUUGAAUUUGCAAUAUCCGGCUGAUGUGGCUGAUCCACAUGCCAACACUGUCAUCCCACCACCUGCCUGUGCGGACGAGCUGGCAAGAGGGCCCGGGGCGAGGCAUGCAGAGGUGGCGAGGACAGCCUGUGCUAACUGGGGUUUCCUGCUGCAGAGGCCAAGCUGCUGCCCUAAGGCAGGACACCUCCACUGAUCACAUCGGCUGCAUACUUUUUAGGAACCAAUGGUACAUGUUGAGGUGGUCUUAGAUUUUAGCAAGAGGGACUUAAUUAUUUCAAAGCUCCAUGAUUACUUUUAUUAUAUCAAUAAAUUAUUUCUUUUCAAGGGCAUCCAUUUUUGAAAUGAAAAUUAAAAUGGAAACCCCAAGUGACAGAUAAUUUUAGGGAAUCCUCUAGUUUUCCGGUUCCAGUGGGGUCUUCCACUUGAGAACUCAUCUGCAGGCAUCAGUAUCUUAGUGAUUCUAUGGCUGAGCAUGGGGUGGCUGCUACUCCUGUCACUUUGUGGAGGGAAAACAGGUCAUUGUGUUAAAAUCUCUGCUGGAAUCAAGCCAUAGGCGUAAAUAGUGACUGUCACACUAGUUGAAAAAACUUAUACAACAAUUUUAUAAGACCAUCCAAAGAGAACCACUCCUGAUUGUGGUUUCCCUAACUUCAGAAAGCUGAUUUAAUCUGAACACCUAGAGCUGGCUGACAUCAACAAUGCCUCAGCACUACUACAGUAUAAGCAACUAAAAACCAUCACUAAAUGUCAAUGACCCCUUUCUUGAAUCAUCUCCCCAUCUUUGUUUCAUCCUGCCUAUUUCUCACUAAAGCAAGUAAGAUUUUGCAUACGUAUUUGGCCUGAUUUCAUGAGUAAAAGGCCUUAGUGACAUUAAAAUUCAGCAUAAAGGGAGAGCAACUGAGUUUCUUUUCUCAAAUACUUUAAGUUUAAAAAGCCAAAACCAACCCACCACCUAGGCUAAUCUCAUGGUGUCCUUUUGGUAGCUCUCCAAGUGCACAGGCGGCAUACUGAUUUUCACCCAGACCCUGGAGGAGAGAAACAAAGAACCUUAUCUCGCUCCCUUUGGUCUCAUUUCUCUCAGCCCACGGGCCAAGCCCACAUGGGCAGAAAGGUGUGGUGACAAUCAAGGAUCAGGCCGUGGUGUCCUUGAGGCCCCCUGGGAGGGGCUCCUCGGCCUGGCCACAGCUUCUCUGUGCUAUGGGGCAGGGUCCUGGGAGGCGUCCCUGGAGGGUGCCACAGAAGCAUCCUUGAGCCCUGGGAGAGGGAGGGGUGCUGUCUGCAGUCAGAGGGCCUUCCUCUGUGCAUGGGCUCUGCCUAGCCACUAGUCCUGCUGUGGAGGUGGGAGUGCACGUGAGUCACCACUACAGGCAUUGGAACCACGUUACCAGGAGCAGGACCAGGAAGCUGUGUAAUGGGAACUGAAUGAGGCUGUGGACUCUGCUCUCUUGCUUUCAAAUAAAGCAAACAAGAUGGUCUUAGUUGAAGUGCACGCCUCAAUGUGAAAGAGGUAAAGUGGCAAACAUGCCUUUCAAAUAAUCACAGGCUGGACAGGACACUGCCCAGGGACUAUUGUCACGCUGCCACAGCUUACACCACCCAUGAGCUGGCGUUUGGUGACUUCAGACUCCCUACUGAAGGCCGCCAGGAGCUAUAACACAACAGCCACCUCAUUUAUUUUAGAAGAGACAAGUGAACACACUGCACUUGGAGAAGUGUGGAUUCACUUACAGGGGUGACACACAGGUGAUGCCUGCCCCAGGGAGCCUGCAGUGCUCAUGAUGGUCUUACAUUUUAGGAUGUAAAGUGUUGAGUCUAGCAUUUGCCAUUCAUUGCUAACCGCUUCUAUGAUUCCUAGGACCCAGACUCUGAGCUGAUACUGAAUGAGAAAAAGCCCGGGGUAAGGUCUGGGAGUCCUGGAGAGAGAAUGAAGAGAGGUCGCUCGCUGCCUUUUGUGGUCGACUGGGUUUCUGGGCAUGCAUGGGUGUCAAGUUUCUGGAAAAGCAAGCUUCUCUAAAUUCAUUCCCAUUUUUCUGGCCUGGUUAAAAAAAAUCGUCUUCAUAAACUACAGUGUAUGGGGAACCAGCUGGAGAUAGAAAGUGGAGGCACAACAUAAUGUGAACUGGAAAACAGAGAAGCUGCUGACCGUCCUGCACAGGGUGUGGGGAGUUUUUCCUGAUCUAUUUGGUUACUUUUACAGGUGGACAAUUAUCCUCUGCCCCACAUGGGUGUUAAGGUUACACUUCAUCGCGCUGCAGGGAAUGCCAUGUGAGGACUGAGGGGGCACCAGCAGAAACCAGAGCGCCCUGCUGCUCUCACAGCUCCAUCCACUGCAACUGCCCACAAGUCAGGGAUCACUUUUUUUUUUGGCAUUUUUUCUUUGAUUUUUUUUCAUUAUCAAUCAUAUUUGAUUAGUAAGAGAGAAAAGAUGUUGGAACUUUAAUCUGCAAUUAAAGAUACCAUUUUUUAAAUGAAAAAUACUGUUUUAAAAUAAAUAAAAGUAUGUAACUUUAACAGCCUUUGGUGACUAUAUGCAUUAAUUCCUUGAACCAGCUGAAUGAUCCUUACAUAGUGAAGAGUAAAUCUAAAGUCACAUGCAGUAGGUGAUCUUUCUGUGUCUGGCGUAUGCAGUAGGUGAUCUUUCUGUGUCUGGCAUAUGCAGUAGGUGAUCUUUCUGUGUCUGGCGUAUGCAGUAGGUGAUCUGUGUCUGGUGUGUGCAGCAGGUGAUCUUUCUGUGUCUGGCGUAUGCAGUAGGUUAUCUUUCUGUUUGACUUAUGCAGUAGGUGAUCUUUCUGUGUCUGGUGUAUGCAGUAGGUGAUCUUUCUGUCUGACUUAUGCAGUAGGUGAUCUUUCUGUGUCUGACUUAUGCACUAGGUGAUCUUUCUGUCUGGCGUAUGCAGCAGGUGAUCUUUCUGUGUCUGGCGUAUGCAGCAGGUGAUCUUUCUGUGUCUGGCGUAUGCAGCAGGUGAUCUUUCUGUGUCUGGCGUAUGCAGUAGGUGAUAUUUCUUUGGCGUAUGCAGUAGGUGAUCUUUCUGUGUCUGGCGUAUGCAGUAGGUGAUCUUUCUGUGUCUGGCGUAUGCAGUAGGUGAUCUUUCUGUGUCUGGCGUAUGCAGUAGGUGAUCUUUCUGUGUCUGGCGUAUGCAGUAGGUGAUCUUUCUGUGUCUGGCGUAUGCAGUAGGUGAUCUUUCUGUGUCUGACUGUGUCUGGCUCUUGCUACAGUGUACUACUGUAUUCACAGCUUUGUGUCAUCCUUAAUUGGAAAUAAUAAACAUAAGCAAGGAAAUGGUAGGAUUCUGCAAACUGUUUGCUACUGUAAUUCAGGGACUACGCUUUGAAAUGAAAGCAGAAAGUACAUGUCCUAUUAGAUAGGUUUUUCUAGAUAAGCCAGUUAUAAAGCAUGUUUUUUUCUUUUCGUUUGUCGUCAAAAGGAAAGGAAGGGUUAGCAGUACACUUAAAGAAUAGUAUCAAAUAUACAAAUUCUCUUUAAACAGAACUCGUUUCUCUUGGAAACAGGGCACAUGAGAGGUACAGGUGAUAGAUAGUUGUACAUCAGAAGGUAGAGACGUGGUACAAGGAAUUCCAGGCCAGCUAAACGAUGCAGUGACAGGGCACCGUAAGAACAUGUUACAAGCACUGAAGAUGCUACAGGAGCUAAACAAACAAGUCUUCUUGGUGAAAUAAUUUGGCAGAUAUUUACAGUUCAGAAGAACAAAACGUCAAAAUGUAAGGCAUGAAAUAUUUCUUGGCAGACCACGGUUUGACACAUUCCUUCUGUCCAGUUAGGUACACGGUGGCUGGACAUGUUCUGGCACUUUUGUUUUUCUUGUGACUUAUUAAUUUUUCAUAAUGAUAUUCAUUUGCAACGCAAUUUGGUCACCAGGUAUGCUAUGCUCAGAAAGAGCCACACAAUCAGUAAAUUGGGGCUCAGAGCUAAUAAAGGGAUGGAACAGAGGAGGCUGGGGUCUAGCCUUAAGUCUCGGAUGGGCACCAGGCCGCUCAAGUUCUUCUGGGUGACUACCUCCCGUGUUCCAAUGCUGUGAAAAGG
Molecule: long non-coding RNA, 8592 nt
Filed under: Pan troglodytes (chimpanzee)
Lineage: Eukaryota; Metazoa; Chordata; Mammalia; Primates; Hominidae
Description: long non-coding RNA NONPTRT010617
Source: RNAcentral